RNAcentral lists this long non-coding RNA (18935 nucleotides) under Salmo salar (Atlantic salmon). Its description in RNAcentral is "lncRNA (ENSSSAG00000121861.1)". Lineage: Eukaryota; Metazoa; Chordata; Actinopteri; Salmoniformes; Salmonidae. The record is from RNAcentral.
CAUAGACAUUUUAUUUUUCUCCAUCAUCCACACUGUUCAAAGUCAUUUAGAUGAUAAUUAUGUACCCACCAGAAACUAUUGACAACAGUUCGAAUGAAUAUGGCUCCAAAUUGAGUCUUGAAGAAAUUAUCCAGCUGAAAAAAAUGGACACCGAAUAAUACGUUUUAUUAUAUUAACAAUUAAACAAUGUAAGGAUGGUAUCAAGAUGGCAUAUGAUGAAUUAAAAUGAAGAUGAUCAUGAAGAAGAUGAUCAUGAUUAUGAUCUUGUGAAGCUCCUUUCAGAACAACUAACGACACUAUCAAUGGUAAAAUUAAAUCAAAUUAGUUACCUGGGUAGCCACUUGAUUUGCCAAUUUCAGGAACUCUGGUGAACUGCUGUUGAUCAGAGAGCUAUUGAAGGUCAAUGUUAGGCUGAACUGCAGUGACAAUUGAAGUGUGGUCGGUGGAGCAUCUGUUGCUGAGGUUAACUUUGUAGCUGUUGUGUUGACUACUGUGGUACUUACGCACAUGCAUUUACACACAAACUGUUGGUGAACUGCAUCCCCUUUUGACUUCCCACACUGUUUAUCACUAUCCAGCUGAGUCUGUUCCUUUCCCUCAAGGUUAGAAACCUCUGGCAGUUUUUACUCCUUUUACCAUCUGUCCUCUGUGACCAUGGGCACACUAAAUACUCACACACAUUUCUUUCCCUCUACAGCCUCUACUAGAUUUUCUGGGACUAAUCGGACUAAUCAAUCACUACAUUGAUCAUUACAUUGAUUAUUCAUUAACCAUGCUGUAUGACUAAUAAUUCAUCAUGGUUUAUUGAUUCAUUUAGCUUUAUUAGAUAAUUCUCUUAUCAAUUCCACCCUUAAAUGAUUAAAUAAUUCACCAUGAUGAUCAAACGCUAUAUGGGAACACUACUAAUCACAUGCUAUAUGUAACACAAUUAAUCACAUGCUAUAUGUAAGCACUAUUAAUCACAUGCUAUAUGUAAACACAAUUAAUCACACGCUAUAAGUAAACACAAUUGUGAUACAAGACUUUAACAAAACCAAGACAUGAAUAUUCCUCCUAUACUCAUCAAUGACUGUCCUAGGCCUAUUUCCAAUUAUGACACUUCGAUUCAGGAUUUUCAUCAUAAUUUUCAUUAAAGGAACAGUCAAUCUAAACGUUGAAAAUUGUUUCAUCAAACAUUGGCAUCUCAUGAUAAUAAAAAGAAACGGAGCCAUCUUCCUGGCCUGGAGGGCCGCAUUCGCCAUCCCACUGAUCGGUGCUCGGAAUCGGUCCAUAUCUCACCAACUGCUGCGUCAUCGAUCUCUCGAGAGUCCUGGUGAUUAAACCUCUAGCACGGGACGAUACAACAUCCACACAACACAAACACACUCAUACAGGUGAAAGCAGCCCAUAAUACAGUUCUUACCACACUUUUCCAUUUCCCAAACAUGGGCUGUGUUAUCAGGAAUGUACGUGCAGCAAUGAACCUAAUCAUUCUACCUACACCGCCCUCUUCUGCCAAUAACAUAUCGCGAGUCAGUCUAUUUUACCCGGCCAUGAGGGAGAUGGCGGAUAAUUGGUCAGAGAACCUCUUUACUGCAUCCCCGGUUUCAUUCAUGAAUCUCUGUUGAUUAUAAAAGGUGUCAUUAAUCCAAUCCACAUUUUUAUUUAUUGUCAACCACCAAAAUAAUGUAGUGUUAAAGCCUUCACAUAUUUGAUUCACAGCUUUGUAUUCAUCUGGAACUUCCCUGAAGAUGCCAAUAGCAUCCAUCUAGACAAAGCUACUCCCAUCCUGGUCAAAACUCCUCCUGUGCCUACUUUAGCCUCCUAUAACUGGCCUCUGAUGACUAACUCGAACUGGUUGGACCUAUAACCCCACCCUUUGUGGUAAUUUGUCGUAUGCUUCCUUUGCUGGUACUAGCCCACCCUACAUCAGUUAUAGGUGCUGGGUUAGCUGGAGGAGCUGUUGUGUUAACAAUAUUUGUCGUUGAAGCUGCUGUGGUCGUUGUGGGAGCAUCUGUGGGUGUUGUGGGGAUGGCUGUGGUUGUUGUGCGAGGAUCUGUGGUUUUUGUUGGAGCAGCUGUGGUAGUUGUUGGAGACGCUGUAGUUGAUUUGGGAGCAGUUGUUGUUGUUGUUGGAGUAUCUGUGGUUGUUUUAGCCCCAAUUGUAGUUGUCGUUGGAGCUUCUGGGGUUGUUGUGGAUGUAUCUGUGGUUGUUUUGGGAGAUUCUGUGGUUAUUGUGGGAGCAGCUGUGGUUGUUGUGCGAGCAGCUGUGGUUGUUAUGCGAGCAGCUGUGGUGGUUGUGGGAGCAUCUGUGGUUGUUGUGAGAGUUGAUGUGGUUGUUGUUGGAGUAUCUGUGGUUGUUGUCGCUCCAGUUGUAGUUGUCAUUGGAGCUACUGUGGUUGUGUUGGGAGCAGAUGUGGGUGUUCUGAGGAUAGAUGUGGUUGUUGUGGGUGCAUCUGUGGUUGUUGUGGGAGAUUCUAUGGUUAUUGUGGAAACAGCUGUGGUUGUUGUGGGAGCAGCUGUGCUUGUUGUGCGAGCAGCUGUGGUUGUUGUGGGAGAAGCUGUGGUUGAUGUGGGAGCAGCUGUGGUUGUUUUAGGAGUAUCUGUUGUUGUUGUAGCCCUAAAUGUAGUUGUCGUUGGAGCUGAUGUUGUUGCUGUGGGAGAAGCUGUGGUUGUUGUGGGGACGGCUGUGUUUGUUGUGGGUGCGUCUUUGGCUGUUGUUGGAGAAGCAGUGGUUGUUGUUGGAGAAGCUGUGGUUGUUGUGGUGCUAAGGAUGUUGUGGAUGUAUCUGUGGUUGUUGUGGGAGCAACUGUCAUUGUUGUUGAGGCAGUUGUGGUUGUUGUUGGAGUAUCUGUGGUUGUUGUAGCCCCAAAUGUAUUUGUCUUUUGAGCUGCUGAAGAUGUUGUGGGAGCAUCAGUGGUUGUUGUUGGAACAUCUGGGGUUGUUGUCGGAGCAGCUGUGGUUGUUGUGGGAGCAGCUGUGGUUGUUGUGGGAGCAGCUGUGGUUGUUGUGGGAGAAGCUGUGGUUGAUGUGGGAGCAGCUGUGGUUAUUGUGUGAGCAGCUGUGUUUGUUUUGGGAGUAUCUGUAGUUCUUGUAGCCCCAAAUGUAGUUGUCGUUGGAGCUGCUAUGGUUGUUGUGGGAGAAGCUGUGGGUGAUGUGGGUGCAGCUGUGGUUGUUGUGGGAACAACUGUGGUUGUUGUGGGAGCAGCUGUGGUUGUUGUGAGAGCAGCUGUGGUUGUUGUGAGAGCAGCUUUGGUUGUUGUGGGAGCAGCUGUGUUUGUUGAGGUAUCAGCUGUGGCUGUUGGUAGAGCAGCUCUGGUUGUUGUGGGAGCAGCAAUGGUUGUUGUGGGAGAAACUGUGGUUGUUGUGGGAGAAGUAGUGGUUGUUGUUGGAGCCACUGUGGUUGUUGUGGGUGCAGAUGUGCUUGUUGUUGGAGCCACUAUGGUUGUUGUUGGAAAGUCUGGGGUUGUUGUCAGAGCAGCUGUGGUUGUUGUGGGAGCAACCGUGGUUGUUGUGGGAGCAGCUGUGGUUGCUUUGGGUGCAGAUGUGGUUGUUGUUGGAGCCACAGUGGUUGUUGUUGGAACGUCUGGGGUUGUUGUCGGAGCAUCUGUGGUUGUUGUGGGAAAAGCUGUGGUUGUUGUGGGAGUAGCUGUGGUUGUUGUGGGAGCCACUGUGUUUGUUGUAGGAGAAGCUGUGAGUGUUGGGAGAGCAUCUGUGGUUGUUAUGGGAGCAGCUGUGGUUGUUGUUGGAGCAGCUGUGGUUGUUGUUGGAGAAGCCGUGGUUGUUGUUGGAACAUAUUAGGUUGUUGUCAGAGAAGCUGUGGUUGUUUUGGGAACAGCUGUGGAUGUUGUGGGAGCAACUGUGGUUGGUGUAGGAGCAGCUGUGGAUGUUGUGGGACCAGCUGUGUUUGUUGUGGUAUCAGCUGUGGCUGUUGUUAAAGCAGAUGUGGUGGUUGUGGGAGCAUCUCUGGUUGUUGUGGUAGCAGCUGUGGCUGUUGUUAGAGCAGCUGUGGUUGUUGUGGGAGAAGCUGUGGUUGUUGUGGGAGAAGUAGUGGUUGUUGUUGGAGCCACCGUGGUUGCUGUUGGAGCCACUGUGGUUGUUUUUUGAAAGUCUGGGGUUGUUGUCGGAGCAUCUGUGGUUGUUGUGGAAACAGCUGUGAUUGUUGUGGAAGCAACCGUCGUUGUUGUGGGAGAAGCUGUGGUUGUUGUGGGUGAUGAUGUGGUUGUUGUUGGAGCCACUGUGGUUGUUGUUGGAUCAUCUAUGGUUGUUGUCGGAGCAGCUGUGGUUGUUGUUGGAAAAGCUGUGGUUGUUGUGGGAGCAACAGUGGUUCUUGUGGGAGCAGCUGUGGUUGUUAUGGGAACAGCUGUGGUUGUUGUGGGUGAUGAUGUGGUUGUUGUUGGAGCCACUGUGGUUGUUGUUGGAUCAUCUGUGGUUGUUGUCGGAGCAGCUGUGGUUGUUGUUGGAGCCACUGUGGUGGUUGUGGGAGGAUCUUCGGUUGUUGUGGGAGCAUCUUCGGUUGUUGUGGGUGGAUCUGUGGUUGUUGUGGGAGAAGCUGUGGUUGUUAUGGGAGAAGCAGUGGUUGUUGUUGGAGCCAAUGUCGUUGUUGUGGUUGCAGAUGUGGUUGUUGUUGGAGCUUCUGUAGUGGUUGUGGGAGCAUCUUUGGUUGUUGUGGGAGCAGCUGUGGUUGUUGUGGGUGCAUCUGUGGUUUUUGUGGGAGAAGCUGUGGUUGUUGUUGGAGCAGCUGUAGUUGUUUAUGGAACAUCUGUGGUUGUUGUGGGAGCAUCUUCGGUUGUUGUGGGAGCAUCUUCGGUUGUUGUGGGUGGAUCUGUGGUUGUUGUUGGAGCAGCUGUGGAUGUUGUGGGAGCAGCUGUGGUUGUUGUGGGAGCAACUGUGGUUGUUGUGGGAGCAUCUGUGGUUGUUGUGGGUGCAGAUGUGGUUGUUGUUGGAUCAUCUGGGGUUGUUGUUUUAGCAGCUAUGGUUGUUGUUGGAACAUCUGUGGUUGUUGUGGGAGCAGCUGUGGUUGUUGUGGGUGCAUCUGUGGUUGUUGUGGGAGAUUCUGUGAUUGUUGUCGGAGCAGCUGUGGUUGUUGUGGGAGAAGCUGUGUUUGUUGUGGGAGAAGCAGUGGUUGUUGUUGGAGCCACUGUAGUUGUUGUGGUUGCAGAUGUGGUUGUUGUUGGAGCCACUGUGGUUGUUGAUGGAACGUCUGAGGUGGUUGUCGGAGCAGCUGUGGUUGUUGUUGGAACAUCUGUGGUUGUUGUUGGAGCAGCUGUGGUUGUUGUUGGAACAUCUGUGGUUGUUGUGGGAGCAGAUGUGGUUGUUGUGGGUCCAUCUGUGGUUGUUGUGGGUGCAUCUGUGAUUGUUGUGGGAGAUUCUGUGGUUGUUGUCGGAGUAGCUGUGGUUGUUGUGGGAGAAGCUGUGUUUGUUGUGGGAGAAGCAGUGGUUGUUGUGGGAGAAGUAGUGGUUGUUGUUGGAGCCACCGUCGUUGCUGUUGGAGCCACUGUGGUUGUUGUUUGAAAGUCUGGGGUUGUUGUCGGAACAUCUGUGGUUGAUGUGGAAACAGCUGUGAUUGUUGUGGAAGCAACCGUCGUUGUUGUGGGAGAAGCUGUGGUUGUUGUGCGUGAUGAUGUGGUUGUUGUUGGAGCCACUGUGGUUGUUGUUGGAUCAUCUGUGGUUGUUGUCGGAGCAGCUGUGGUUGUUGUUGGAAAAGCUGUGGUUGUUGUGGGAGCAACCGGGGUUCUUGUGGGAGCAGCUGUGGUUGAUAUGGGAACAGCUGUGGUUGUUGUGGGAGAAAUUGUGGUUGUUGUGGUAGCAACCGUGGUUGUUGUGGGAGCAGCUGUGGUUGUUGUGGGAGAAGCUGUGGUUGUUAUGGGAGAAGCAGUGGUUGUUGUUGGAGCCAAUGUCGUUGUUGUGGUUGCAGAUGUGGUUGUUGUUGGAGCUUCUGUGGUUUUUGUGGGAGAAGCUGUGGUUGUUGUUGGGGCAGCUGUAGUUGUUUAUGGAACCUCUGUGGUUGUUGUGGGAACAGCUGUGGUUGUUAUGGGAGAAGCAGUGGUUGUUGUUGAAGCCAAUGUUGUUGUUGUGGCUGCAGAUGUGGAUGUUGUUGGAGCCACUGUGGUUGUUGUGGGAGCAGCUGUGGUUGUUGUUGGAACAUCUGUGGUUGUUGUGGGAGCAGCUGUGGUUGUUGUGGGAGCAGCUGUGGUUGUUGUGGGUGCAUCUGUGGUUGUUGUGGGUGCAUCUGUGGUUGUUGUGGGAAAUUCUGUGGUUGUUGUCGGAGCAGCUGUGGUUGUUGUGGGAGAAGCUGUGUUUGUUGUGGGAGAAGCAGUGGUUGUUGUGGGAGAAGUAGUGGUUGUUGUUGGAGCCACCGUCGUUGCUGUUGGAGCCACUGUGGUUGUUGUUUGAAAGUCUGGGGUUGUUUUCGGAGCAUCUGUGGUUGUUGUGGAAACAGCUGUGAUUGUUGUGGAAGCAACCGUGGUUGUUGUUGGAGCCACUUUGGUUGUUGUUGGAUCAUCUGUGGUUGUUGUCGGAGCAGCUGUGGUUGUUGUUGGAAAAGCUGUGGUUGUUGUGGGAGCAACCGUGGUUGUUGUGGGAGCAGCUGUCGUUGUUUUGGGAGCAGCUGUGGCUGUUGUGGGAGAAGCAGUGGUUGUUGUAGGAGCAGCUGUGGUUGUUGUUGGAGCAGCUGUUGUUGUUGUUGGAGCAGCUGUGGUUGUUGUUGGAACAGCUGUGGUUGUUAUGGGAGAAGCAGUGGUUGUUGUUGAAGCCAAUGUUGUUGUUGUGGCUGCAGAUGUGGAUGUUGUUGGAGCCACUGUGGUUGUUGUGGGAGCAGCUGUGGUUGUUGUGGGAGCAGCUGUGGUUGUUGUGGGUGGAUCUGUGGUUGUUGUUGGAGCAGCUGUGGUUGUUGUGGGAGCAGCUGUGGUUGUUGUGGGAGCAACCGUGGUUGUUGUGGGUACAGAUGUGGUUGUUUUUGGAUCAUCUGGGGUUGUUGUUGGAGCAGCUGUGGUUGUUGUUGGAACAUCUGUGGUUGUUGUUGGAGCAGUUGUGGUUGUUGUUGGAACAUCUGUGGUUGUUGUGGGAGCAGAUGUGGUUGUUGUGGGAGAAGCUGUGUUUGUUGUGGGAGAAGCAGUGGUUGUUGUUGGAGCCACUGUAGUUGUUGUGGUUGCAGAUGUGGUUGUUGUUGGAACAUCUGUGGUUGUUGUUGGAGCAGCUGUGGUUGUUGUUGGAACAUCUGUGGUUGUUGUGGGAGCAGCUGUGGUUGUUGUGGGAGCAGCUGUGGUUGUUGUGGGUGCAUCUGUGGUUGUUGUGGGUGCAUCUGUGGUUGUUGUGGGAAAUUCUGUGGUUGUUGUCGGAGCAGCUGUGGUUGUUGUCGGAGCAGCUGUGGUUGUUGUGGGAGAAGCUGUGUUUGUUGUGGGAGAAGCAGUGGUUGUUGUGGGAGAAGUAGUGGUUGUUGUUGGAGCCACCGUCGUUGCUGUUGGAGCCACUGUGGUUGUUGUUUGAAAGUCUGGGGUUGUUUUCGGAGCAUCUGUGGUUGUUGUGGAAACAGCUGUGAUUGUUGUGGAAGCAACCGUGGUUUUUGUUGGAGCCACUUUGGUUGUUGUUGGAUCAUCUGUGGUUGUUGUCGGAGCAGCUGUGGUUGUUGUUGGAAAAGCUGUGGUUGUUGUGGGAGCAACCGUGGUUGUUGUGGGAGCAGCUGUCGUUGUUUUGGGAGCAGCUGUGGCUGUUGUGGGAGAAGCAGUGGUUGUUGUAGGAGCAGCUGUGGUUGUUGUUGGAGCAGCUGUUGUUGUUGUUGGAGCAGCUGUGGUUGUUGUUGGAACAUCUGGGGUUGUUGUCGGAGCAGCUGUGGUUGUUGUGGGAAAAGCUGUGGUUGUUGUGGUAGCAACCGUGGUUGUUGUGGGAGCAGCUGUGGUUGUUGUGGGAGCAGCUGUUGUUGUUGUGGGAGAAGCUGUGGUUGUUAUGGGAGAAGCAGUGGUUGUUGUUGGAACCAAUGUCGUUGUUGUGGGUGCAGAUGUGGUUGUUGUUGGAGCUUCUGUAGUGGUUGUGGGAGCAUCUUUGGUUGUUGUGGGAGCAGCUGUGGUUGUUGUGGGUGCAUCUGUGGUUUUUGUGGGAGACGCUUUGGUUGUUGUUGGAGCAGCUGUAGUUGUUUAUUGAACAUCUGUGGUUGUUGUGGGAACAGCUGUGGUUGUUGUGGGAACAGCUGUGGUUGUUGUGGGAGAAGCAGUGGUUGUUGUUGAAGCCAGUGUUGUUGUUGUGGUUGCAGAUGUGGUUGUUGUUGGAGCUUCUGUAGUGGUUGUGGGAGCAUCUUCGGUUGUUGUGGGAGCAGCUGUGGUUGUUGUGGGUGGAUCUGUGGUUGUUGUUGGAGCCACUGUAGUUGUUGUGGUUGCAGAUGUGGUUGUUGUUGGAGCCACUGUGGUUGUUGAUGGAACGUCUGAGGUUGUUGUCGGAGCAUCUGUGAUUGUUGUUGGCACAUCUGUGGUUGUUGUUGGAGCAGCUGGGGUUGUUGUGGGUGCAUCUGUGGUUGUUGUGGGAAAUUCUGUGGUUGUUGUCGUAGCAGCUGUGGUUGUUGUGGGAGAAGCUGUGGUUGUUGUGGGUGCAUCUGUGGUUGUUAUUGGAGCCACUGUGGUUGUUGUUGGAGCCAAUAUUGUUGUUGUGGCUGCAGAUGUGGUUGAUGUUGGAGCCAAUGUGGUGGAUGUGGGAGCAUCUUCGGUUGUUGUGGGAGCAGCUGUGGUUGUUGUGGGUGCAUCUGUGGUUGUUGUUGGAGCAGCUGUGGUUGUUGUGGGAGCAGCUGGAGUUGUUGUGGGUGCAUCUGUGGUUGUUGUCGGAGCAGCUGUGGUUGUUGUGGGAGAAGCUGUGGUUGUUGUUGGAACAUCUGUGGUUGUUGUGGGAUCAGCUGUGGUUGUUGUGGGUGCAGCUGUGGUUGUUGUGGGUGCAUCUGUGGUUGUUGUGGGUGCAUCUGUGGUUGUUGUGGGAGAUUCUGUGGUUGUUGUCGGAGCAGCUGUGGUUGUUGUGGGAGAAGCUGUGUUUGUUGUUGGAGAAGCAGUGGUUGUUGUUGGAGCCACUGUAGUUGUUGUGGUUGCAGAUGUGGUUGUUGUUGGAGCCACUGUGGUUGUUGAUGGAACGUCUGAGGUUGUUGUCGGAGCAUCUGUGGUUGUUGUUGGAACAUCUGUGGUUGUUGUUGGAGCAGCUGGGGUUGUUGUGGGUGCAUCUGUGGUUGUUGUGGGAGAUUCUGUGGUUGUUGUCGGAGCAGCUGUGGUUGUUGUGGGAGAAGAUGUGGUUGUUGUGGGUGCAUCUGUGGUUGUUAUUGGAGCCACUGUGGUUGUUGUUGGAGCCAAUAUUGUUGUUGUGGAUGCAGAUGUGGUUGUUGUUGGAGCCAAUGUGGUGGAUGUGGGAGCAUCUUCGGUUGUUGUGGGAGCAGCUGUGGUUGUUGUGGGUGCAUCUGUGGUUGUUGUUGGAGCAGCUGUGGUUGUUGUGGGAGCAGCUGUGGUUGUUGUGGGUGCAUCUGUGGUUUAUUUGGGAGAUUCUGUGGUUGUUGUCGGAGCAGCUGUGGUUGUUGUGGGAGAAGCUGUGGUUGUUGUUGGAACAUCUGUGGUUGUUGUGGGAGCAGCUGUGGUUGUUGUGGGUGCAGCUGUGGUUGUUGUCGGUGCAUCUGUGGUUGUUGUCGGUGCAUCUGUGGUUGUUGUGGGUGCAUCUGUGGUUGUUGUGGGAGAUUCUGUGGUUGUUGUCGGAGCAGCUGUGGUUGUUGUGGGAGAAGCUGUGUUUGUUGUGGGAGAAGGAGUGGUUGUUGUUGGGGCCACUGUAGUUGUUGUGGUUGCAGAUGUGGUUGUUGUUGGAGCCACUGUGGUUGUUGAUGGAACGUCUGAGGUUGUUGUCGGAGCAGCUGUGGUUGUUGUUGGAACAUCUGUGGUUGUUGUUGGAGCAGCUGUGGUUGUUGUUGGAACAUCUGUGGUUGUUGUGGGAGCAGCUGUGGUUGUUGUGGGUGCAUCUGUGGUUGUUGCGGGAGAUUCUUUGGUUGUUGUCGGAGCAGCUGUGGUUGUUGUGGGAGAAGCUGUGUUUGUUGUGGGAGAAGGAGUGGUUGUUGUUGGGGCCACUGUAGUUGUUGUGGUUGCAGAUUUGGUUGUUAUUGGAACAUCUGUGGUUGUUGUGGGAGCAGCUGUGGUUGUUGUGGGUGCAUCUGUGGUUGUUGUGGGAGAUUCUGUGGUUGUUGUCGGAGCAGCUGUGGUUGUUGUGGGAGAAGCUGUGGUUGUUGUUGGAGCCACUGUAGUUGUUGUGGUUGCAGAUGUGGUUGUUGUUGGAGCCACUGUGGUUGUUGAUGGAACGUCUGAGGUUGUUGUCGGAGCAUCUGUGAUUGUUGUUGGCACAUCUGUGGUUGUUGUUGGAGCAGCUGGGGUUGUUGUGGGUGCAUCUGUGGUUGUUGUGGGAGAUUCUGUGGUUGUUGUCGUAGCAGCUGUGGUUGUUGUGGGAGAAGCUGUGGUUGUUGUGGGUGCAUCUGUGGUUGUUAUUGGAGCCACUGUGGUUGUUGUUGGAGCCAAUAUUGUUGUUGUGGCUGCAGAUGUGGUUGAUGUUGGAGCCAAUGUGGUGGAUGUGGGAGCAUCUUCGGUUGUUGUGGGAGCAGCUGUGGUUGUUGUGGGUGCAUCUGUGGUUGUUGUUGGAGCAGCUGUGGUUGUUGUGGGAGCAGCUGGAGUUGUUGUGGGUGCAUCUGUGGUUGUUGUGGGAGAUUCUGUGGUUGUUGUCGGAGCAGCUGUGGUUGUUGUGGGAGAAGCUGUGGUUGUUGUUGGAACAUCUGUGGUUGUUGUGGGAUCAGCUGUGGUUGUUGUGGGUGCAGCUGUGGUUGUUGUGGGUGCAUCUGUGGUUGUUGUGGGUGCAUCUGUGGUUGUUGUGGGAGAUUCUGUGGUUGUUGUCGGAGCAGCUGUGGUUGUUGUGGGAGAAGCUGUGUUUGUUGUUGGAGAAGCAGUGGUUGUUGUUGGAGCCACUGUAGUUGUUGUGGUUGCAGAUGUGGUUGUUGUUGGAGCCACUGUGGUUGUUGAUGGAACGUCUGAGGUUGUUGUCGGAGCAUCUGUGGUUGUUGUUGGAACAUCUGUGGUUGUUGUUGGAGCAGCUGGGGUUGUUGUUGGUGCAUCUGUGGUUGUUGUGGGAGAUUCUGUGGUUGUUGUCGGAGCAGCUGUGGUUGUUGUGGGAGAAGAUGUGGUUGUUGUGGGUGGAUCUGUGGUUGUUAUUGGAGCCACUGUGGUUGUUGUUGGAGCCAAUAUUUUUGUUGUGGAUGCAGAUGUGGUUGUUGUUGGAGCCAAUGUGGUGGAUGUGGGAGCAUCUUCGGUUGUUGUGGGAGCAGCUGUGGUUGUUGUGGGUGCAUCUGUGGUUGUUGUUGGAGCAGCUGUGGUUGUUGUGGGAGCAGCUGUGGUUGUUGUGGGUGCAUCUGUGGUUGUUGUGGGAGAUUCUCUGGUUGUUGUCGGAGCAGCUGUGGUUGUUGUGGGAGAAGCUGUGGUUGUUGUUGGAACAUCUGUGGUUGUUGUGUGAGCAGCUGUGGUUGUUGUGGGUGCAGCUGUGGUUGUUGUCGGUGCAUCUGUGGUUGUUGUCGGUGCAUCUGUGGUUGUUGUGGGUGCAUCUGUGGUUGUUGUGGGAGUUUCUGUGGUUGUUGUCGGAGCAGCUGUGGUUGUUGUGGGAGAAGCUGUGUUUGUUGUGGGAGAAGGAGUGGUUGUUGUUGGGGCCACUGUAGUUGUUGUGGUUGCAGAUGUGGUUGUUGUUGGAGCCACUGUGGUUGUUGAUGGAACAUCUGAGGUUGUUGUCGGAGCAGCUGUGGUUGUUGUUGGAACAUCUGUGGUUGUUGUUGGAGCAGCUGUGGUUGUUGUUGGAACAUCUGUGGUUGUUGUGGGAGCAGCUGUGGUUGUUGUGGGUGCAUCUGUGGUUGUUGCGGGAGAUUCUUUGGUUGUUGUCGGAGCAGCUGUGGUUGUUGUGGGAGAAGCUGUGUUUGUUGUGGGAGAAGGAGUGGUUGUUGUUGGGGCCACUGUAGUUGUUGUGGUUGCAUAUGUGGUUGUUAUUGGAGCCACUGUGGUUGUUGUUGGAGCCAAUAUUGUUGUUGUGGCUGCAGAUGUGGUUGAUGUUGGAGCCAAUCUGGUGGAUGUGGGAGCAUCUUCGGUUGUUGUGGGAGCAGCUGUGGUUGUUGUGGGUGCAUCUGUGGUUGUUGUUGGAGCAGCUAUGGUUGUUGUGGGAGCAGCUGGAGUUGUUGUGGGUGCAUCUGUGGUUGUUGUGGGAGAAGCUGUGGUUGUUGUUGGAACAUCUGUGGUUGUUGUGGGAUCAGCUGUGGUUGUUGUGGGUGCAGCUGUGGUUGUUGUGGGUGCAUCUGUGGUUGUUGUGGGUGCAUCUGUGGUUGUUGUGGGUGCAUCUGUGGUUGUUGUGGGAGAUUCUGUGGUUGUUGUCGGAGCAGCUGUGGUUGUUGUGGGAGAAGCUGUGUUUGUUGUUGGAGAAGCAGUGGUUGUUGUUGGAGCCACUGUAGUUGUUGUGGUUGCAGAUGUGGUUGUUGUUGGAGCCACUGUGGUUGUUGAUGGAACGUCUGAGGUUGUUGUCGGAGCAUCUGUGGUUGUUGUUGGAACAUCUGUGGUUGUUGUUGGAGCAGCUGGGGUUCUUGUGGGUGCAUCUGUGGUUGUUGUGGGAGAUUCUGUGGUUGUUGUCGGAGCAGCUGUGGUUGUUGUGGGAGAAGCUGUGGUUGUUGUGGGUGCAUCUGUGGUUGUUAUUUGAGCCACUGUGGUUGUUGUUGGAGCCAAUAUUGUUGUUGUGGCUGCAGAUGUGGUUGUUGUUGGAGCCACUGUGGUGGAUGUGGGAGCAUCUUCGUUUGUUGUGGGAGCAGCUGUGGUUGUUGUGGGUGCAUCUGUGGUUGUUGUUGGAGCAGCUGUGGUUGUUGUGGGAGCAGCUGUGGUUGUUGUGGGUGCAUCUGUGGUUGUUGUGGGAGAUUCUGUGGUUGUUGUCGGAGCAGCUGUGGUUGUUGUGGGAGAAGCUGUGGUUGUUGUUGGAACAUCUGUGGUUGUUGUGGGAUCAGCUGUGGUUGUUGUGGGUGCAGCUGUGGUUGUUGUGGGUGCAUCUGUGGUUGUUGUGGGUGCAUCUGUGGUUGUUGUGGGAGAUUCUGUGGUUGUUGUCGGAGCAGCUGUGGUUGUUGUCGGAGAAGCUGUGUUUGUUGUUGGAGAAGCAGUGGUUUUUGUUGGAGCCACUGUAGUUGUUGUGGUUGCAGAUGUGGUUGUUGUUGGAGCCACUGUGGUUGUUGAUGGAACGUCUGAGGUUGUUGUCGGAGCAUCUGUGGUUGUUGUUGGAACAUCUGUGGUUGUUGUUGGAGCAGCUGGGGUUGUUGUGGGUGCAUCUGUGGUUGUUGUGGGAGAUUCUGUGGUUGUUGUCGGAGCAGCUGUGGUUGUUGUGGGAGAAGAUGUGGUUGUUGUGGGUGCAUCUGUGGUUGUUAUUGGAGCCACUGUGGUUGUUGUUGGAGCCAAUAUUGUUGUUGUGGAUGCAGAUGUGGUUGUUGUUGGAGCCAAUGUGGUGGAUGUGGGAGCAUCUUCGGUUGUUGUGGGAGCAGCUGUGGUUGUUGUGGGUGCAUCUGUGGUUGUUGUUGGAGCAGCUGUGGUUGUUGUGGGAGCAGCUGUGGUUGUUGUGGGUGCAUCUGUGGUUGUUGUGGGAGAUUCUGUGGUUGUUGUCGGAGCAGCUGUGGUUGUUGUGGGAGAAGCUGUGGUUGUUGUUGGAACAUCUGUGGUUGUUGUGGGAGCAGCUGUGGUUGUUGUGGGUGCAGCUGUGGUUGUUGUCGGUGCAUCUGUGGUUGCUGUGGGUGCAUCUGUGGUUGUUGUGGGAGAUUCUGUGGUUGUUGUCGGAGCAGCUGUGGUUGUUGUGGGAGAAGCUGUGUUUGUUGUGGGAGAAGCAGUUGUUGUUGUUGGAGCCACUGUAGUUGUUGUGGUUGCAGAUGUGGUUGUUGUUGGAGCCACUGUGGUUGUUGAUGGAACGUCUGAGGUUGUUGUCGGAGCAGCUGUGGUUGUUGUUGGAACAUCUGUGGUUGUUGUUGGAGCAGCUGUGGUUGUUGUUGGAACAUCUGUGGUUGUUGUGGGAGCAGCUGUGGUUGUUGUGGGUGCAUCUGUGGUUGUUGCGGGAGAUUCUUUGGUUGUUGUCGGAGCAGCUGUGGUUGUUGUGGGAGAAGCUGUGUUUGUUGUGGGAGAAGGAGUGGUUGUUGUUGGGGCCACUGUAGUUGUUGUGGUUGCAGAUGUGGUUGUUGUUGGAGCCACUGUGGUUGUUGAUGGAACGUCUGAGGUUGUUGUCGGAGCAUCUGUGGUUGUUGUUGGAACAUCUGUGGUUGUUGUUGGAGCAGCUGGGGUUCUUGUGGGUGCAUCUGUGGUUGUUGUGGGAGAUUCUGUGGUUGUUGUCGGAGCAGCUGUGGUUGUUGUGGGAGAAGCUGUGGUUGUUGUGGGUGCAUCUGUGGUUGUUAUUUGAGCCACUGUGGUUGUUGUUGGAGCCAAUAUUGUUGUUGUGGCUGCAGAUGUGGUUGUUGUUGGAGCCACUGUGGUGGAUGUGGGAGCAUCUUCGGUUGUUGUGGGAGCAGCUGUGGUUGUUGUGGGUGCAUCUGUGGUUGUUGUUGGAGCAGCUGUGGUUGUUGUGGGAGCAGCUGUGGUUGUUGUGGGUGCAUCUGUGGUUGUUGUGGGAGAUUCUGUGGUUGUUGUCGGAGCAGCUGUGGUUGUUGUGGGAGAAGCUGUGGUUGUUGUUGGAACAUCUGUGGUUGUUGUGGGAGCAGCUGUGGUUGUUGUGGGUGCAGCUGUGGUUGUUGUCGGUGCAUCUGUGGUUGUUGUGGGUGCAUCUGUGGUUGUUGUGGGAGAUUCUGUGGUUGUUGUCGGAGCAGCUGUGGUUGUUGUGGGAGAAGCUGUGUUUGUUGUGGGAGAAGCAGUUGUUGUUGUUGGAGCCACUGUAGUUGUUGUGGUUGCAGAUGUGGUUGUUGUUGGAGCCACUGUGAUUGUUGAUGGAACGUCUGAGGUUGUUGUGGGUGCAUCUGUGGUUGUUGUGGGAGAUUCUGUGGUUGUUGUCGGAGCAGCUGUGGUUGUGGUGGGAGAAGCUGUGGUUGUUGUCGGAACAUCUGUGGUUGUUGUGGGAGCAGCUGUGGUUGUUGUGGGUGCAUCUGUGGUUGUUGUUGGAGCCACUGUGGUUGUUGUGGGAGCCAAUGUUGUUGUUGUGGCUGCAGAUGUGGAUGUUGUUGGAGCCACUGUGUUGGUUGUGGGAGCAUCUUCGGUUGUUGUGGGAGCAGCUGUGGUUGUUGUGGGUGGAUCUGUGGUUGUUGUUGGAGCAGCUGUGGUUGUUGUGGGAGAAGCUGUGGUUGUUGUGGGAGCAACCGUGGUUGUUGUGGAAGCAUCUGUGGUUGUUGUGGGUGCAGAUGUGGUUGUUGUUUGAUCAUCUGUGGUUGUUGUUGGAGCAGCUGUGGUUGUUGUUGGAACAUCUGUGGUUGUUGUGAGAGCAGCUGUGGUUGUUGUGGGUGCAUCUGUGGUUGUUGUGGGAGAUUCUGUGGUUGUUGUCGGAGCAGCUGUGGUUGUUGUGGGAGAAGCUGUGUUUGUUGUGGGAGAAGCAGUGGUUGUUGUUGGAGCCAAUGUAGUUGUUGUGGUUGCAGAUGUGGUUGUUGUUGAUGGAACGUCUGAGGAUGUUGUCGGAGCAGCUGUGGUUGUUGUUGGAACAUCUGUGGUUGUUGUUGGAGCAGCUGUGGUUGUUGUUGGAACAUCUGUGGUUGUUGUGGGAGCAGCUGUGGUUGUUGUGGGUGCAUCUGUGGUUGUUGUGGGAGAUUCUGUGGUUGUUGUCGGAGCAGCUGUGGUUGUUGUGGGAGAAGCUGUGGUUGUUGUUGGAACAUCUGUGGUUGUUGUGGGAUCAGCUGUGGUUGUUGUGGGUGCAUCUGUGGUUGUUGUUGGAGCCACUGUGGUUGUUGUUUGAGCCAAUGUUGUUGUUGUGGCUGCAGAUGUGGAUGUUGUUGGAGCCACUGUGGUGGAUGUGGGAGCAUCUUCGUUUGUUGUGGGAGGAGCUGUGGUUGUUGUGGGUGGAUCUGCUGUUGUUGUUGGAGCAGCUGUGGUUCUUGAGGGAGAAGCUGUGGUUGUUGUGGGAGCAACCGUGGUUGUUGUGGGAGCAGCUGUGGUUGUUGUGGAUGCAAUUGUGGUUGUUGUUGGAGCAGCUGUGGUUGUUGUUGGAGCAGCUGUGGUUGUUGUUGGAGCCACUGUGGUGGAUGUGGGAGCAUCUUCGGUUGUUGUGGGAGCAGCUGUGGUUGUUGUGGGUGCAUCUGUGGUUGUUGUUGGAGCAGCUGUGGUUGUUGUGGGAGCAGCUGAAGUUGUUGUGGGUGCAUCUGUGGUUGUUGUGGGAGCCACUGUGGUUGUUGUUGGAGCCAAUGUUGUUGUUGUGGCUGCAGAUGUGGUUGUUGUUGGAGCCACUGUGGUGGAUGUGGGAGCAUCUUCAGUUGUUGUGGGAGCAGCUGUGGUUGUUGUGGGUGGAUCUGUGGUUGUUGUUGGAGCAGCUGUGGUUGUUGUGGGAGAAGCUGUGGUUGUUGUGGGAGCAGCCGUGGUUGUUGUUGGAGCAGCUGUGGUUGUUGUUGGAACAUCUGUGGUUGUUGUGGGAGAAGCUGUGUUUGUUGUGGGAGAAGAAGUGGUUGUUGUUGGAGCCACUGUAGUUGUUGUUGUUGCAGAUAUGGUUGUUGUUGGAGCCACUGUGGUUGUUGAUGGAACGUCUGAGGUUGUUGUCGGAGCAGCUGUGGUUGUUGUUGGAACAUCUGUGGUUGUUGUUGUAGCAGCUGGGGUUGUUGUGGGUGCAUCUGUGGUUGUUGUGUGAGAUUCUGUGGUUGUUGUCGGAGCAGCUUUGGUUGUUGUGGGAGAAGCUGUGGUUGUUGUUGGAACAUCUGUGGUUGUUGUGGGAGCAGCUGUGGUUGUUGUGGGUGCAUCUGUGGUUGUUGUUGGAGCCACUGUGGUGGUUGUGGGAGCAUCUUCGGUUGUUGUGGGAGCAGCUGUGGUUGUUGUGGGUGGAUCUGUGGUUGUUGUUGGAGCAGCUGUGGUGGUUGUGGGAGAAGCUGUGGUUGUUGUGGGAGCAACCGUGGUUGUUGUGGAAGCAUCUGUGGUUGUUGUGGGUGCAGAUGUGGUUGUUGUUGGAUCAUCUGGGGUUGUUGUUGGAGCAGCUGUGGUUAUUGUUGGAACAUCUGUGGUUGUUGUGAGAGCAGCUGUGUUUGUUGUGGGUGCAUCUGUGGUCGUUGUGGGAGAUUCUGUGGUUGUUGUCGGAGCAGCUGUGGUUGUUGUGGGAGAAGCUGUGUUUGUUGUGGGAGAAGCAGUGGUUGUUGUUGGAGCCACUGUAGUUGUUGUGGUUGCAGAUGUGGUUGUUGUUGAUGGAACGUCUGAGGAUGUUGUCGGAGCAGCUGUGGUUGUUGUUGGAACAGCUGUGGUUGUUGUUGGAGCAGCUGUGGUUGUUGUUGGAACAUCUGUGGUUGUUGUGGGAGCAGCUGUGGUUGUUGUGGGUGCAUCUGUGGUUGUUGUGGAAGAAUCUGUGGUUGUUGUCGGAGUAGCUGUGGUUGUUGUGGGAGAAGCUGUGGUUGUUGUUGGAACAUCUGUGGUUGUUGUGGGAUCAGCUGUGGUUGUUGUGGGUGCAUCUCUGGUUGUUUUUGGAGCCACUGUGGUUGUUGUUGGAGCCAAUGUUGUUGUUGUGGCUGCAGAUGUGGAUGUUGUUGGAGCCACUGUGGUGGAUGUGGGAGCAUCUUCGGUUGUUGUGAGAGGAGCUGUGGUUGUUGUGGGUGGAUCUGUUGUUGUUGUUGGAGCAGCUGUGGUUCUUGUGGGAGAAGCUGUGGUUGUUGUGGGAGCAACCGUGGUUGUUGUGGGAGCAGCUGUGGUUGUUGUGGGUGCAAUUGUGGUUGUUGUUGGAGCAGCUGUGGUUGUUGUGGGAGCAGCUGUGGUUGUUGUGUGUGCAAUUGUGGUUGUUGUUGGAGCAGCUGUGGUUGUUGUGGUUGCAGAUGUGGUUGUUGUUGGAGCCACUGUGGUUAUUGAUGGAACGUCUAAGGUUGUUGUCGGAGCAGCUGUGGUUGUUGUUGGAACAUCUGUGGUUGUUGUUGGAGCAGCUGUGGUUGUUGUUGGAACAUCUGUGGUUGUUGUGGGAACAGCUGUGGUUGUUGUGGGUGCAUCUGUGUUUGUUGUGGGAGAUUCUGUGGUUGUUGUCGGAGCAGCUGUGGUUGUUGUGGGAGAAGCUGUGUUUGUUGUGGGAGAAGCAGUGGUUGUUGUUGGAGCCACUGUGGUUGUUGUGGGUGGAGAUGUGGUUGUUGUUGGAACAGCUGUGGUUGUUGUGGGUGAAGAUGUGGUUGUUGUUGGAACAGCUGUGGUUGUUGUGGGAGAAGCAGUAAUUGUUGGGAGAGCAGCUGUGGUUGUUAUGGUAGCAGCUGUGGUUGUUCUGGGAGAAGCUGUGGUUGUUGUUGGAGAAGCUGUGGUUGUUGUUAGAACAUCUGGGGUUGUUGUCAGAGAAUCUGUGGUUGUUGUGGGAACAGCUGUGGUUGUUGUGGAAGCAACUGUGAUUGUUGUAUCCACAGCUGAAGUUGGAGUUGAGGCUGCUGGGGGUUGUGUUGGUGCAAUGACCUCUGUAAUUAUGAAAUGGAUGUUAGGUAUUUUAUUCUUAUUGGUCCAAUGGUGUUCUAUAGGAUUUCAUUAUACCUGAAACGUUGUAACUGUACAGUGGCUAAAAAUUGUGUACAACUCUAAACAAAUUGACAAAAAAUCCAGUCAACAAAGUUACAGACGUUUCAUCAAGUGUUGAGGACGUAGGGUUACUCAGUUUUGCUUCUUGUUGUUAAGCUUAAGAUAAGAAGGUAUUGGGUUUUCUCUUCAGAAGUAAACAUUUUUACAACCACAUUUGUUAGAUUGUUUUCUAUGUCAAAUAGCAAAAAUAAAAGACUGAUAAUCAACUCCAGGCUGCGUAGUUAAAUGGAAAUGACCGACUUCACCUGUUUGGUAUCAUAUCACACCC